RNAcentral lists this transfer RNA (71 nucleotides) under Camelus bactrianus (Bactrian camel). It matches the Rfam family "tRNA". Rfam says of the family: Transfer RNA (tRNA) molecules are approximately 80 nucleotides in length. Their secondary structure includes four short double-helical elements and three loops (D, anti-codon, and T loops). Further hydrogen bonds mediate the characteristic L-shaped molecular structure. tRNAs have two regions of fundamental functional importance: the anti-codon, which is responsible for specific mRNA codon recognition, and the 3' end, to which the tRNAs corresponding amino acid is attached (by aminoacyl-tRNA synthetases). tRNAs cope with the degeneracy of the genetic code in two manners: having more than one tRNA (with a specific anti-codon) for a particular amino acid; and 'wobble' base-pairing, i.e. permitting non-standard base-pairing at the 3rd anti-codon position. Lineage: Eukaryota; Metazoa; Chordata; Mammalia; Artiodactyla; Camelidae. The record is from Rfam by way of RNAcentral. RNAcentral also lists the same sequence under 2 other names.
GAGGGCAGAGCUCAGUGGUAGAGCACGUGCUUAGCAUGCAAGAGGUCCUGGGUUCAGUCCUCAGUCCCUCU